Molecule: small RNA, 28 nt
Filed under: Bombyx mori (domestic silkworm)
Lineage: Eukaryota; Metazoa; Arthropoda; Insecta; Lepidoptera; Bombycidae
Description: ovarian small RNA-5747
Source: RNAcentral
UAAGAGUGGUAACUCAUUGAUAAAGGUC